This 253-nucleotide ribosomal RNA is filed under the name uncultured bacterium. Its description in RNAcentral is "partial 16S ribosomal RNA". It matches the Rfam family "Bacterial small subunit ribosomal RNA", at positions 524 to 776 of the family's 1533-position model. The record is from RNAcentral.
UACAGAGGUCUCAAGCGUUGUUCGGAUUCAUUGGGCGUAAAGGGUGUGUAGGCGGCGCUUUAAGUCGGGUGUGAAAUUUCGGAGCUUAACUCCGAAACUGCAUUCGAUACUGCGGUGCUUGAGGACUGGAGAGGAGACUGGAAUUCAUGGUGUAGCAGUGAAAUGCGUAGAGAUCAUGAGGAAGACCAGUGGCGAAGGCGGGUCUCUGGACAGUUCCUGACACUGAGACACGAAGGCCAGGGGAGCAAACGGG